This 424-nucleotide ribosomal RNA is filed under the name uncultured bacterium. Its description in RNAcentral is "bacterial SSU rRNA". It matches the Rfam family "Bacterial small subunit ribosomal RNA", at positions 355 to 776 of the family's 1533-position model. The record is from RNAcentral.
UAAGGAAUAUUGGUCAAUGGGCGAAAGCCUGAACCAGCCAUGCCGCGUGUGUGAUGAAGGCCCUUUGGGUUGUAAAGCACUUUUAGAUAGGAAGAAUGACAGGGAUUCAUCCCUGGAGCGACGGUACUAUCAGAAUAAGCACCGGCUAACUCCGUGCCAGCAGCCGCGGUAAUACGGAGGGUGCAAGCGUUAUCCGGAAUCACUGGGUUUAAAGGGUACGUAGGCGGUAAUAUAAGUCAGACGUCAAAGGCUGUGGCUAAACCAUAGUACGCGUUUGAAACUAUAUCACUUGAAUAUGUUCGAGGUGCACGGAAUGCGUCAUGUAGCGGUGAAAUGCAUAGAUAUGACGUAGAACACCAAUUGCGAAGGCAGUGCACUAGGGCAUUAUUGACGCUGAGGUACGAAAGCGUGGGUAGCGAACAGG